UUCCGGUUGAUCCUGCCGGAGGUCAUUGCUAUUGGNGUCCGUUUUAGCCAUGCUAGUUGCACGAGUUCAGACUCGUAGCAGAUAGCUCAGUAACACGUGGCCAAACUGCCCUAUAGACGGCGAUAACCUCGGGAAACUGAGGCUAAUAGCCGAUACCGUUCACUGCCUGGNGUGGCGUGAACGCGAAACGUUCAGGCGCUAUAGGAUGUGGCUGCNGCCGAUUAGGUAGACGGUGGGGUAACGGCCCACCGUGCCCAUAAUCGGUACGGGUUGUGAGAGCAAGAGCCCGGAGACGGUAUCUGAGACAAGAUACCGGGCCCUACGGGGCGCAGAGGGCGCGAAACCUUUACACUGCACGCGAGUCGGAUAAGGGGACUCCAAGUGCGAGGGCAUAUAGUCCUCGCUUUUUUCGACCGUAAGUUGGUCGAGGAAUAAGUGCUGGGCAAGACCGGUGCCAGCCGCCGCGGUAAUACCGGCAGCACGAGUGAUGACCGCUAUUAUUGGGCCUAAAGCGUCCGUAGCUGGCCAGGCAAGUCUAUCGGGAAAUCUGCGCGCUUAACGCGCAGCCGUCCGGUGGAAACUGCGUGGCUUGGGACCGGAAGACCAGAGGGGUACGUCCGGGGUAGGAGUGAAAUCCCGUAAUCCUGGACGGACCACCGGUGGCGAAAGCGCCUCUGGAAGACGGAUCCGACGGUGAGGGACGAAAGCUCGGGUCACGAACCGGAUUAGAUACCCGGGUAGUCCGAGCUGUAAACGAUGUCUGCUAGGUGUGGCACAGGCUACGAGCCUGUGCUGUGCCGUAGGGAAGCCGAGAAGCAGACCGCCUGGGAAGUACGUCCGCAAGGAUGAAACUUAAAGGAAUUGGCGGGGGAGCACUACAACCGGAGGAGCCUGCGGUUUAAUUGGAGUCAACGCCGGG
RNAcentral lists this ribosomal RNA (919 nucleotides) under uncultured archaeon. RNAcentral describes it as "bacterial SSU rRNA". It matches the Rfam family "Archaeal small subunit ribosomal RNA", at positions 1 to 922 of the family's 1478-position model. The record is from RNAcentral.